Molecule: ribosomal RNA, 492 nt
Filed under: uncultured bacterium
Lineage: Bacteria
Description: partial 16S ribosomal RNA
Rfam family: Bacterial small subunit ribosomal RNA
Source: RNAcentral
AGUGAACGCUGGCGGUAGGCCUAACACAUGCAAGUCGAACGGCAGCACAGUAAGAGCUUGCUCUUACGGGUGGCGAGUGGCGGACGGGUGAGGAAUACAUCGGAAUCUACUUUUUCGUGGGGGAUAACGUAGGGAAACUUACGCUAAUACCGCAUACGGCCCACGGGUGAAAGCAGGGGAUCUUCGGACCUUGCGCGAUUGAAUGAGCCGAUGUCGGAUUAGCUAGUUGGCGGGGUAAAGGCCCACCAAGGCGACGAUCCGUAGCUGGUCUGAGAGGAUGAUCAGCCACACUGGAACUGAGACACGGUCCAGACUCCUACGGGAGGCAGCAGUGGGGAAUAUUGGACAAUGGGCGCAAGCCUGAUCCAGCCAUACCGCGUGGGUGAAGAAGGCCUUCGGGUUGUAAAGCCCUUUUGUUGGGAAAGAAAAGCAGCAGGUUAAUACCCCGCUGUUCUGACGGUACCCAAAGAAUAAGCACCGGCUAACUUCGUG